RNAcentral lists this ribosomal RNA (412 nucleotides) under uncultured prokaryote. Its description in RNAcentral is "partial 16S ribosomal RNA". The record is from RNAcentral.
CCCUAUGGGGUGCCCUUUCCCGCGGCGUGGACGAUGCCGUUCUGUUGAGCGACCGGGCGUUCGCCGGUUCCGACACCUGGGCCACCUCCACCACCCUCGCAGCCGCCAUCCGAAAAAUGGGGGACGUAGACCUUGUCCUCUGCGGCAAGCAGGCAGUCGAUGGAGAUACGGCUCAAGUGGGCCCUGAAAUGGCAACUUUCCUUGACAUGCCGUAUGCGACCUUUGUCAAAAAGAUCGAAUUGUUCGACGGCAGUGCAUUAAAAAUUUCCCGUCAAACGGACGAAGGCGUCGAAAUCUGGAAAUUGCCCACCCCCUGCCUUCUCACGGUGAUCAAGGAAGUGGGGGAGCCCCGACUGCCGUCCCUCAGGCAUAAAAUGCGCGCCAAAAAGGCGACCAUCCCGAUGUGGAGAGC